CAAUGCCCUGCCCACUGUUUUGCUAGGCCUGGCUACCAUCAGGCCUACCUGUCCAUGCACCAUGUCAAGGUAAUGGCUAACUCUGUUUCCUGCAGGAAAAACUUAGUGGUAGAGAUGCUAAUGUUCAUGUAGCAUUUAAGCUAGCAGGCCAGCUGGUCACCAAAAGUUCCAGUCAUGUUGCUUCAGGACUUUCUUUGAGGAGGAGACUUGUACUGGCUCUUCAUCAUACCGGAGUUUUGUGUCCUGGUGUUGGAACUUUGGUUCCCAAAAAGGUUAUUCUACCAGAGAUUUGAGAGAUUACUGCUUCAACUCAACAAAAACACCAGUGCAGGACCCGCUCUGGUGGAGCAGUUCCUGCACUGGACACAUGGUGGCACUACGUACUUAUUGGAGACCUGCAGCUUGGGUUCCCUCCAUCCUGCCUUGAUCAUGGAGUCCCACCAAGCAGAGCAAGGGUGAGCUGUGAGAGCCGGCAAGACGUGAGGAGGAGGAGAAGAAAUGGACGGAGAGAGAGAGAGAGAGAGAGAUCAUCUUGGCAUGACCCCAGAGUCUCCUCUGCAGUGUUUGAGCCCAGCGUCUCUUCAGAUUGCAGCUUUGGGCUCAGGGACGAAAAAACCAACUGUGGUGCAGAAAGUUUUUACUGCAACAGCGGCGCCACUGAACCCUUCAAACAGAUUGAGAAUAAGCGGAACCGUCAUUUGAUUUGCAGAAGGCGGCCAUAUUCGACUUCAUCUGAAACAAUAUGGCUGUGGCUUCACUUCCUCAAUGUUUGGGUCCUCACACACAGACCCUGCUAAAUGAACCUUUUUUGUGGUGACCCCCUUCUCCUUGCUCUGCCCAAACUGCCUGUGUGCAUUUGAUGAAGGUGACGAAAUACAGAAAUAAACGUAAAGCCUUUUAUUUAUUACUGAGAAAUGAAAUAUGUGCUAUUGCAUGAGCAAAUAUCUAUUUCACAUUUAGCCAAAAAGCCAUUCACAUAUAAGGAAAUGUGCGAUAUGACCUGUUUUGACCUCUUAUGAACAAACGUAGAAAUGUGCGACAAGAGGGAUCCAAAUAGACUUUUAUAUUUUUUUCUGUUCAGACUUUGGGACUUGGGAGGAUGGUGCUGCGUUAAAAAA
Xiphias gladius (swordfish) is the source of this 1118-nucleotide long non-coding RNA. RefSeq lists it as uncharacterized. The record is from RefSeq and is a predicted model, not a curated record. The transcript has 4 exons. Lineage: Eukaryota; Metazoa; Chordata; Actinopteri; Istiophoriformes; Xiphiidae.